AUUGAACGCUGGCGGAAUGCUUUACACAUGCAAGUCGAACGGCAGCACGGGGCAACCUGGUGGCGAGUGGCGAACGGGUGAGUAAUACAUCGGAACGUGCCCAAUCGUGGGGGAUAACGUAGCGAAAGUUACGCUAAUACCGCAUACGAUCUACGGAUGAAAGCGGGGGAUCGCAAGACCUCGCGCGAAUGGAGCGGCCGAUGUCAGAUUAGGUAGUUGGUGGGGUAAAGGCUCACCAAGCCGACGAUCUGUAGCUGGUCUGAGAGGACGACCAGCCACACUGGGACUGAGACACGGCCCAGACUCCUACGGGAGGCAGCAGUGGGGAAUUUUGGACAAUGGGCGCAAGCCUGAUCCAGCCAUUCCGCGUGCAGGAUGAAGGCCUUCGGGUUGUAAACUGCUUUUGUACGGAACGAAACGGCGAGCUCUAAUACAGUUUGCUAAUGACGGUGCCGUAGGAAUAAGCACCGGCUAACUACGUGCCAGCCGCCGCAGUAA
This 498-nucleotide ribosomal RNA is filed under the name uncultured bacterium. RNAcentral's name for it is "partial 16S ribosomal RNA". It matches the Rfam family "Bacterial small subunit ribosomal RNA", at positions 30 to 523 of the family's 1533-position model. The record is from RNAcentral.